CAGCUUAUACAGGUUUUUGUAAGUGAUAGCAAAUUUUCCGUUCGUUAACUUUUUUUUCUCUUCCCUCCCUUUACACAAGAAACUUGCAAGGACAGAGCGCACUUCUGGCAUUUAAAUUUGACGGGCCGUUGCAAAUUCGUGUUGGGAAAUUGCAAGAAGAAAAAAAAGCUAGUUGUUACAUAUUUAAAUUUAUAAAUUUACAAAGGCAUUAAAAUCAGUGACGUAGAAGGAAGCAAAUCGCAAUGGAAUCAAUGGCGGCAGACUCCACAGCCUGCAGCUAUGUUUUUUAAAACACUGGCACGUUGCAAAUUCCUGUUCACGUCACAAUACUUUCAGAUCCGGAGCGUUUGUAUCGAGUCGGACGGCAUGACCCCGCCAACGAAGCCGCUGCCUUUGCUACGCUAUGUCUAUGUCGCCAUACUUUUCAGUUGAAAUUAAUUUCGUAUUAAAAAAAAAAUAAUAAUAAAGCAAAUAAAAUGCAAAAUAGUUAUCA
Molecule: long non-coding RNA, 493 nt
Organism: Anastrepha ludens (Mexican fruit fly)
Lineage: Eukaryota; Metazoa; Arthropoda; Insecta; Diptera; Tephritidae
Exons: 2
Source: RefSeq, a predicted model, not a curated record